This 253-nucleotide ribosomal RNA is filed under the name uncultured bacterium. RNAcentral describes it as "partial 16S ribosomal RNA". It matches the Rfam family "Bacterial small subunit ribosomal RNA", at positions 524 to 776 of the family's 1533-position model. The record is from RNAcentral.
UACGUAGGGAGCAAGCGUUGUCCGGAAUCAUUGGGUGUAAAGCGCGCGUAGGUGGCCUCAUAAGUCCGCUGUGAAAGUCAAAGGCUCAACCUUUGAAAGCCGGUGGAUACUGUGAGGCUAGAGUACGGAAGAGGCGAGUGGAAUUCCUGGUGUAGCGGUGGAAUGCGCAGAUAUCAGGAGGAACACCAAUAGCGAAGGCAGCUCGCUGGGACGUUACUGACACUGAGGCGCGAAAGCGUGGGGAGCGAACAGG